This 127-nucleotide small RNA is filed under the name Marmota monax (woodchuck). Lineage: Eukaryota; Metazoa; Chordata; Mammalia; Rodentia; Sciuridae. The record is from RNAcentral.
GUCAGGUGUAGUGGCGCAUGCCUGUAAUCCCAGGGGCUUGGGAGGCUGAGGCAGGAGGAUUGCAUGUUCAAAGCCAGCCUCAGCGAUUUAGUGAAGCCCUAAGCAACUCAGUGAGACUCUGUUUCUA